RNAcentral lists this ribosomal RNA (253 nucleotides) under uncultured bacterium. RNAcentral's name for it is "partial 16S ribosomal RNA". It matches the Rfam family "Bacterial small subunit ribosomal RNA", at positions 524 to 776 of the family's 1533-position model. The record is from RNAcentral.
UACGAAGGGGGCUAGCGUUGUUCGGAAUCACUGGGCGUAAAGGGUGCGCAGGCGGGUUCAUAAGUCAGGGGUGAAAUCCCGAGGCUCAACCUCGGAACUGCCUUUGAUACUGUGGAUCUUGAGUCCGGAAGAGGUGAGUGGAACUGCGAGUGUAGAGGUGAAAUUCGUAGAUAUUCGCAAGAACACCGGUGGCGAAGGCGGCGUGCUGGACCCUUUCUGACGCUGAGGCGCGAAAGCCAGGGGAGCAAACGGG